UUCCUACGGGACGCAGCAGUGGGGAAUAUUGGUCAAUGGGAGAGAUCCUGAACCAGCCAAGCCGCGUGAGGGAAGACGGCCCUAUGGGUUGUAAACCUCUUUUGUCGGAGAACAAAACCCGGGACGUGUCCCGGACUGCGUGUAUCCGAAGAAAAAGCAUCGGCUAACUCCGUGCCAGCAGCCGCGGUAAUACGGAGGAUGCGAGCGUUAUCCGGAUUUAUUGGGUUUAAAGGGUGCGUAGGCGGUCCGUUAAGUCAGCGGUAAAAUUGCGGGGCUCAACCCCGACGAGCCGUUGAAACUGGCAG
RNAcentral lists this ribosomal RNA (305 nucleotides) under uncultured bacterium. RNAcentral describes it as "bacterial SSU rRNA". It matches the Rfam family "Bacterial small subunit ribosomal RNA", at positions 336 to 639 of the family's 1533-position model. The record is from RNAcentral.